Salmo salar (Atlantic salmon) is the source of this 1625-nucleotide non-coding RNA. The record is from RefSeq and is a predicted model, not a curated record. Lineage: Eukaryota; Metazoa; Chordata; Actinopteri; Salmoniformes; Salmonidae.
CACACACACACACACACACACACACACGCGCAUCAGGGUUACAGCACUGUGUCGCACUUUAACAUAGUCCACUACGACUGUCACCUCGCAGCCGUCAGGUUAGUACGCGCACACACACACACACACACACACACACACACACACACACACACGCGCAUCAGGGUUACAGCACUGUGUCGCACUUUAACAUAGUCCACUACGACUGUCACCUCGCAGCCGUCAGGUUAGUACGCGCGCACACACACACACACACGCGCAUCAGGGUUACAGCACUGUGUCGCACUUUAACAUAGUCCACUACGACUGUCACCUCGCAGCCGUCAGGUUAGUACGCGCACACACACACACACACACACACACACACACACACACACACACACACACACGCGCAUCAGGGAUACAGCACUGUGUCGCACUUUAACAUAGUCCACUACGACUGUCACCUCGCAGCCGUCAGGUUAGUACGCGCACACACACACACACACACACACACACGCGCAUCAGGGUUACAGCACUGUGUCGCACUUUAACAUAGUCCACUACGACUGUCACCUCGCAGCCGUCAGGUUAGUACGCGCACACACACACACACACACACACACACACACACACACACACACACACACACACACACACACACACACGCGCAUCAGGGUUACAGCACUGUGUCGCACUUUAACAUAGUCCACUACGACUGUCACCUCGCAGCCGUCAGGUUAGUACGCGCACACACACACACACACACACACACACACACACACACACACACACACACGCGCAUCAGGGAUACAGCACUGUGUCGCACUUUAACAUAGUCCACUACGACUGUCACCUCGCAGCCGUCAGGUUAGUACGCGCACACACACACACACACACACACACACACACACACACACACACACACACACACACACACACACACACGCGCAUCAGGGUUACAGCACUGUGUCGCACUUUAACAUAGUCCACUACGACUGUCACCUCGCAGCCGUCAGGUUAGUACGCGCACACACACACACACACACACACACACACACACACACACACACACACACACACACACACACGCGCAUCAGGGUUACAGCACUGUGUCGCACUUUAACAUAGUCCACUACGACUGUCACCUCGCAGCCGUCAGGUUAGUACGCGCACACACACACACACACGCGCAUCAGGGUUACAGCACUGUGUCGCACUUUAACAUAGUCCACUACGACUGUCACCUCGCAGCCGUCAGGUUAGUACGCGCACACACACACACACACACACACACACACACACACACACACACACACACACACACACGCGCAUCAGGGUUACAGCACUGUGUCGCACUUUAACAUAGUCCACUACGACUGUCACCUCGCAGCCGUCAGGUUAGUACGCGCACGCACACACACACACACACACGCGCGCGCAUCAGGGAUACAGCACUGUGUCGCACUUUAACAUAGUCCACUACGACUGUCACCUCGCAGCCGUCAGGUUAGUACGCGCACACACACACACACACACGCGCAUCAGGGUUACAGCACUGUGUCGCACUUUAACAUAGUCCACUACGACUGUCACCUCGCAGCCGUCAGGUUAGUACGCGCACACACACACACACACACACACACACA